GAGCUCAAAUUUGUAAUCUGGCGGCCUUUGGCCGUCCGAGUUGUAGUCUCGAGAAGCGUUUUCUGCGCCGGACCGUGUACAAGUCCCUUGGAACAGGGCGUCACAGAGGGUGAGAAUCCCGUCUUUGACACGGACUGCCGGUGCUUUGUGAUGCGCUCUCAAAGAGUCGAGUUGUUUGGGAAUGCAGCUCAAAACGGGUGGUAAAUUCCAUCUAAAGCUAAAUAUUGGCGAAAGACCGAUAGCGAACAAGUACCGUGAGGGAAAGAUGAAAAGCACUUUGGAAAGAGAGUUAAACAGUACGUCAAAUUGCUGA
Molecule: ribosomal RNA, 313 nt
Filed under: Turbinellus floccosus
Lineage: Eukaryota; Fungi; Basidiomycota; Agaricomycetes; Gomphales; Gomphaceae
Description: eukaryotic LSU rRNA
Rfam family: Eukaryotic large subunit ribosomal RNA
Source: RNAcentral